GCAGGGGUGGGGCCAGGGUGCUCAGCUUUGUGCAGUUAGGAAAUUGGUAGCCCUGCUGCUGCCCCACUGCCUGGGUGACGCCAAGUCUGGCGUAGCCAAAAGCCCCCCAUAGCACCCCCUGCUGGGCGAGGCCAGGGCUGGCGUAGCCGAAAGCCCCCCACAGCGCCCCCUGCUGGGCGAGGCCAGGGCUGGCGUAGCCAGGCGCCCCCCACAGUGCCCCCUGCUGGGCAAGGCCAGGAGCGAGAGAGGUCACCCCACAUGCACCCACUCACCUGUAGCUCCCAUGGAGGAUUUGGGGACUUUGUAGGA
Gopherus flavomarginatus (Mexican gopher tortoise) is the source of this 309-nucleotide long non-coding RNA. RefSeq lists it as uncharacterized. NCBI's taxonomy places the organism in Eukaryota, Metazoa, Chordata, Testudines, Testudinidae. The record is from RefSeq and is a predicted model, not a curated record. The transcript has 3 exons.